AUUGAACGCUGGCGGCAGGCCUAACACAUGCAAGUCGAGCGGAUGAAGGGAGCUUGCUCCUGGAUUCAGCGGCGGACGGGUGAGUAAUGCCUAGGAAUCUGCCUGGUAGUGGGGGAUAACGUCCGGAAACGGGCGCUAAUACCGCAUACGUCCUGAGGGAGAAAGUGGGGGAUCUUCGGACCUCACGCUAUCAGAUGAGCCUAGGUCGGAUUAGCUAGUUGGUGGGGUAAAGGCCUACCAAGGCGACGAUCCGUAACUGGUCUGAGAGGAUGAUCAGUCACACUGGAACUGAGACACGGUCCAGACUCCUACGGGAGGCAGUAGUGGGGAAUAUUGGACAAUGGGCGAAAGCCUGAUCCAGCCAUGCCGCGUGUGUGAAGAAGGUCUUCGGAUUGUAAAGCACUUUAAGUUGGGGGGAAGGGCAGUAAGUUAAUACCUUGCUGUUUUGACGUUACCAACAGAAUAAGCACCGGCUAACUUCGUG
Molecule: ribosomal RNA, 484 nt
Filed under: uncultured bacterium
Lineage: Bacteria
Description: partial 16S ribosomal RNA
Rfam family: Bacterial small subunit ribosomal RNA
Source: RNAcentral